UACGGAGGGAGCUAGCGUUGUUCGGAAUUACUGGGCGUAAAGCGCGCGUAGGCAGCUUUGUAAGUUAGAGGUGAAAGCCCGGGGCUCAACCCCGGAAUUGCCUUUAAGACUGCAUCGCUUGAAUCCGGGAGAGGUGAGUGGAAUUCCGAGUGUAGAGGUGAAAUUCGUAGAUAUUCGGAAGAACACCAGUGGCGAAGGCGGCUCACUGGACCGGCAUUGACGCUGAGGUGCGAAAGCGUGGGGAGCAAACAGG
This 253-nucleotide ribosomal RNA is filed under the name uncultured bacterium. Its description in RNAcentral is "partial 16S ribosomal RNA". It matches the Rfam family "Bacterial small subunit ribosomal RNA", at positions 524 to 776 of the family's 1533-position model. The record is from RNAcentral.